RNAcentral lists this ribosomal RNA (302 nucleotides) under uncultured bacterium. RNAcentral's name for it is "partial 16S ribosomal RNA". It matches the Rfam family "Bacterial small subunit ribosomal RNA", at positions 28 to 326 of the family's 1533-position model. The record is from RNAcentral.
AAUGAACGCUGGCGGCGUGCUUAACACAUGCAAGUCGAGCGAGGGCCUGGGGGGCAACUCCCAGAGUCGAGCGGCGAACGGGUGAGUAACACGUGGGUGACCUGCCCUCAGCUCUGGGAUAAGCCUGGGAAACUGGGUCUAAUACUGGAUAUGACUCCACGGUGCAUGUCGUGGGGUGGAAAGCCUUGUGCGGCUGAGGAUGGGCCCGCGGCCUAUCAGCUUGUUGGUGGGGUGAGUGGCCUACCAAGGCGACGACGGGUAGCCGGCCUGAGAGGGCGACCGGCCACACUGGGACUGAGACA